RNAcentral lists this ribosomal RNA (247 nucleotides) under uncultured Eubacteriales bacterium. RNAcentral describes it as "uncultured Clostridiales bacterium partial 16S ribosomal RNA". It matches the Rfam family "Bacterial small subunit ribosomal RNA", at positions 796 to 1041 of the family's 1533-position model. The record is from RNAcentral. Lineage: Bacteria; Bacillati; Bacillota; Clostridia; Eubacteriales.
CACGCCGUAAACGAUGAGUGCUAGGUGUCGGGGGUUCACACCCUCGGUGCCGGAGUUAACGCAUUAAGCACUCCGCCUGGGGAGUACGGUCGCAAGACUGAAACUCAAAGGAAUUGACGGGGACCCGCACAAGCAGCGGAGCAUGUGGUUUAAUUCGAAGCAACGCGAAGAACCUUACCAGGACUUGACAUCCCUUUGACCAGUCCUUAAUCGGACUUUUCCCUUCGGGGACAAAGGAGACAGGUGG